GUGCAAAAACCCCACGUGUGGCGCGCAAUCGUAAUAUCAGGAAGUAGCAUUCUUUCCAUAUUGAGUGGUUUGAGAAUCGGACACUGAUUAAGAAGUGGUAUUAAUAGUACAUCAUGAGUUCUUCUGAGUGUUACAAAUGCCACCGUACUGGUCAUUUUGCUCGAGAGUGUACACAGAGUGAUGGAAGAGGAGGUGGAGGAGGAUACAGAGGACGUGGUGGUGGAGGGGGUUUUCGUGGUGGCCGUAACAACCAACGAGUUUCUUGCUACAACUGUGGGAAAAGUGGCCACAUUGCACGAGAAUGCAGGGAACAAGAGAGAACCUGCUAUAUGUGUGGCGCCCAAGGGCAUAUAUCACGGGAUUGUGAGCAAGAGGAUAGGAAAGUAAAAUGCUAUGUCUGUGGCAAGAAUGGCCAUAUUUCACGAGAGUGUCCAGAAGGUGAGAAAGAUGACCGCAAGUGUUAUAACUGUGGAGAAACUGGACAUAUAAGUCGGGAUUGCCCUGAAGGUGGUGAAGCUGAUGACACAGUUUGCUAUCGUUGCAACGAGAAGGGACACAUCGCUCGCAAUUGUCGUUCCACUCGUACCGGUAACAAGUGCUAUCAUUGUGGCGAGUUUGGCCAUAUUGCUCGUGAUUGUGAAUUGAAAGCCUAACCUCUCCUGCCUACCCACGUCACAGCCUCUUGAAUGUGUUGGUCGUUUGGCACAUGUGAGAUCCAGCUCCUUACACCCUAGCUGCAUCUGGCCGAGACAAGCUGGUCUUGAGCUGUGGAUGUCUUGAAUUUUGAUGUUGUAGGUGAUCUUCAGAACUGGGGGCUGGGUGUGGCCUGUUGGUUAUUGUGCCUGACUGUGAAUCCAAGUGUCCAUGGUUCACGCUUUGUUGCUUCAAAAAUCAUGCCCUGCACUAAGGGGGCAUGGGUGUGUUGUGUUAAAAGAGUGGUGAUCAAAGCCCAGGAGUUAGUUGUGGGUGCAGUGAGUUCAAAUUUAAGGAUAGAUAAUAUAGCUAUUUCUUAGCUUUGUACAAAUUUCCAAACCAACUUUCAGAACUGAUUAAAUUGUGUUUGCAAAAAUGGUCUUCAUACCUGAUUUUUGAUGAAGUUAUCUUCAUGAAUUAGCAAUUAGUAUAAUAAGAACCAAUUGCAAUUGGGUACAGAAUGUUUGGUAAUAAUUGUAUUGGUCAAAAUUAUUAUAAGAUUGUUUCGUGGUAGCCAACAGAAAUGUGCUCAGUGCUGCAAAAAAGUGUUUAAUGGUAACCAGUUGAAACUAUCUUCAAACUUAACCAAAAUUCAUUUCUUAAUAGCCCAAUGAACUUUUUUUUUUAAAUAAAAUAUUAAGGUAAUAUUUUGCUAAUUGAUUUGUAAGGACGAGGUUCAGCCAAAAUAAUUCAUACAAGAGCAACAUAUUUUCUUUCAUUUCAUUUGUUUCUGGCUAAAAAAAAAGUAAUUCUGAUGAGAUAAGAAAAGCUGUUACAGUUACAGCAAGUUUUGCCAGUAUAAUUUCAUAUGUUCAGGGAUGAGAAUUGGCAGGUUUAUAUAAUUUCUGUUGUCAACUUUGUCACCAACCUAACUAAUUCAAAUUCAGUGAGAAAAAUGUUGGGUGGGGGGAUUUUACAACUAGUAGGCUUGAUUAGAGAUUGCCUUGUCAGCUUUGAUGUUUACUCGGCUGAAAUUUAUGUAUGAAGCUCUUUUUAACCGACUAAUUACAAAUCUUAAAACUUCUUUUGAAGACAAAGGUAUUCAAACACCACAUAAAUGCAAAAACUCCUUCAAAUGCAAUGGCGGGUGAUUGAAUGGGAUUAUCAUAGAGGUAGGCUUUAAAUUUUUUAUCAUUAUCCUUAGUUCUGUACACUUUUUUUUGCUCAUUUACUUAGUACUCCAUAGAAUAGACAUUUUCCUUUUAUUGGUCAUUAUUUUUGUGUGAAAACAUUUAGAUGAAGCCAUUUUAUAGAGAGAGACACAAUUCAAAGAACGUUGAGGGGGGUGUACAUUAAAAUUCUCAAAAUUGUUUUCAAUAAUUAAAGACAUACAAAUGAAAACAAAUUACAAAGGUAUCAGAUUUCACUGACUUCAAAAUAAUUUUCAGUCUUAAAUUAUAUAUGGGAGGGCAAAAUUGUGGGCCGAAAUUACACUUGAGAAAACAAUCCACACUUAUAUAACUUUGCCUACUUGUUUGUUUAUUAUUAUUAGGAAAAAGAACUUAGUAUCAUUAUCUCUUCUAAAAGACUUUUUUUUUUUAAAUAACUUGUCAGUAAUUUGACCUUAUGGAAACUGAUUUGUGUAAGUGUUGCCUAAAUAUUUAAUGAAAUAAAUUUGUAUUUCACUAUUUUAAUUAUUGCAGCUAUAAACGUGUAUGUGGUAUUUUUCUAAAUAUUUUAUGAAAUGACCAGGUUGUGUGCUACACAAUCUGUAAUUUUGAUCAUUGGAAAUUGAAUUGAAGUGGCAGAAGUCUAAUGUAGUGAUCAUCAUAGUAAAUAAUAUGAACAUGCAGUAUUUCAAAAUGACAUCAGAGAUCUCACUGAUCCCUCUGUCUUCCAGAGGUCUUUGUAAUUUUGAUCAUUGGAAAUUGAAUUGAAGUGGCAGAAGUCUAAUGUAAUGAUCAUCGUAGUAAAUAAUAUGAACAUACAGUAUUUCAAAAUGACAUCAGAGAUCUCACUGAUCCCUCUGUCUUCCAGAGGUCUCUGGUCUUUAUGGGCUGGGACCCAGGACCAGCCAGAGGUUUCACUUGCUGUUCUCAUCCCUGUAUGUUAUUAACUGCCAAGUACAUACAUAUUUUGCAUGUUUGAAAAGAAAAUUUUUGUUUUUAAAAAGAUCAUUUAAAAGAGAUUUGAAAUAUCUAUUAAAUCAAACAAUUUAUAAAUUUUUUGUGUGUGUGUGACUUGGUGUGACAAUACACGAGUCACUAUGUAAUGUAGGUGAGAUGGAGUGUAAAGUUACAAUUUGUGAAUGAAAAACACCUUCAGUGAUGGUAUGUUAAAAAUUACCUUAUUUUGGGGCAUGAAUAAAAGAGUUUAUAGCUAUUAUUGGUAAAUUACACACCUUAAAGUGUGAAUAUAUAUAUAUAAAGAUAUCUUAGUCAUUGUAAGAAGAAGAAAAAUGCACUCAAAUGCAAUGGUUUCAUGUGGUCCCAGUGAAAGUUGUGUAUUGAUAAUGUUGGCCACUUUUUUUUUCAUUUAACAGUUUUAACCAUUUAUCUGAAUUUAUCUUGUAACAGCAUUGAUACAGGAUAAAAUGUUGAUGUGGUAGAAUAUAGAUUAACUACUAAUGUUAAGUUAAAAAUCGUACAUUGUGUUUGAAGUAAAAGAGAUCUUAGAAUAUAAUUUUGGUGGGUUAUAAAUUAAAAACUGAUGAAUAUAAGUUAAAAACAGUACAAUGGAAUGUAGAAUAAUUAAUGGUGGUAAGUCAACCAUAAAAUCUGUGUGAAAGAGAUAAUAUGGCUGUGUUGGCCUAUGCAACCCACGUAUAGUGUUUUAAUUAGAUAUAUGUAUUGAAUCAUUGUUUUGGUAGUGCGCAGUGUUUGAAAUUACUUGGUUAUGUAAUAAUCUGUAUUUGGCAACCAAAGCAUUAUAUUUGAUUUUUGUUCUGAAUUGCAAGAAAUUCUCAAGUAUCUCUGUUGAAUACAGUUUUCUAUUUCAGGAUAUUUGUAUUCAUACUGUUGUGUUAUUUAUGCUGCUGUUCAAAAUUAGUGUUCAUAUUCAAUUUGUUAGAAUGUGUAUGAUGAACAUCUGGAACUGUCUCAUGUUUAAAAAAAAAAUCAAAUUUUAAUUUGACUUAUGUUUGACCAUUAAUUGAUAAAAAAGACUAACACAGUGGAAAAUGUAGUCAUUUUGAGUUUGAAAUUAAAACAUUACCAUAGCUCUGUAUGAUAGUAUUGAAAGCUAAAGUUUCCUGUAGUAGUUGGUGAGGAUUCUAGUUUUGUUUUUGUUUUAAUAGACAUUUUCUCCUUAUGAGAAUAAAGUUUUAUGGAAAGUAA
RNAcentral lists this unclassified non-coding RNA (3968 nucleotides) under Limulus polyphemus (Atlantic horseshoe crab). Its description in RNAcentral is "dNA-binding protein HEXBP-like, transcript variant X1". The record is from RNAcentral. Lineage: Eukaryota; Metazoa; Arthropoda; Merostomata; Xiphosura; Limulidae.